Molecule: ribosomal RNA, 253 nt
Filed under: uncultured bacterium
Lineage: Bacteria
Description: partial 16S ribosomal RNA
Rfam family: Bacterial small subunit ribosomal RNA
Source: RNAcentral
AACGUAGGACGCAAGCGUUAUCCGGAGUUACUGGGCGUAAAGCGCGGGCAGGCGGUUCUGCCAGUCUGAUGUGAAAUCUCCCCGCUCAACGGGGAGCAGCCAUUGGAAACUACAGAACUGGAGUCUGACAGAGGUAGGCGGAAUUCCGGGUGGAGUGGUGAAAUGCGUAGAGAUCCGGAGGAACACCAGAGGCGAAGGCGGCCUACUGGGUCAGUACUGACGCUGAGCCGCGAAAGCCAGGGGAGCGAACAGG